GGAGGAUGACAGGAGGGAGCCGUGCUCCAGGUGGAGUUCAUCUUGCUGAUGCCUGUACCUAAAACUCUUUGACAGCUGGAAUUACUGUUAAAAGAACUCAUCUGUAGUCCAGUGUGAGGAAGAAGCCACUGUUUCCAAAUAGGCCAGAUGGUUUCAUUUUCUACAGAGGUGAUGAAAUGUUUGGCAGUUGUGUUUCCACACUGGGUUGUUUUCACUUUUCCAAGUCCAGCUGAUGAAGAUGCAAGCACUUCUUGUAGGUAGAACUUACUGUCCUUGCUGUCUGCUAUGACAUGAAGAUUGGACUACAAGGAUUUUCAAGGAAGACCCUUCAGGGCUGAGUAAAAGACUGGUCAGGUUCAAUUUGCAUUGCGUUAGAUGAGGGAUCUGUGGAGAAGCCAAUGAUCUUAGUGGUGGAAGAUCAAACCCUGAGAGGCUGACUCCUGAAGGAGCUGGUGGGAUACCUGUCAGGCCCAGCUAUGUUGAAGCCUCACAACUCCACCUUUUGGUAUUGGAUGCUGAAGAGAUGACCUGUCUCAGAAAAAAGCAGCAAAGAACACUAAAAACAGGAAUGAGGUCUCUGACAACUUACCUGUUUGAGCAGGGCUGCAGAAUGCAGUUUGGAAGAACAGUGCUCCAUCAUUCAGGACGUGCUGGUUUGAAAGAAAGUUCUGUCUUGAGGUGGGACAGGAAAACUGCUGAAGCAUUACAUAGCCAGUGCUCAUUUUGCUUUUUUGUCUGAAGGCAGUGAUGUCCUCUUAUCCUAAAGCUAACAUCACUUCCAGCUUGCAAGUUAAGUGUAUAUGUGUAUAAAAUUCUAUAUGCCUUAAGAAACAGUACUGUCAUGGCAUGGGAGGUUUAUAAGAUAAGGAACAGCUCAGAAAGGGUUAAUGUGAAAUGUCUGUCUCUGACGCUUGUAGUUAAAAGAGCAAGGAGACAUAUAAUUACAUCAGUAGGUGGAAAGUUCAAAACAGUGGAGGUGUUUUUACAUACCAUGUGGAUAAUCUGUGUAACCCCUUGAGUCUGGAGGCAGUGAAUACUGCGAAUUCACAUGGCUUUAAAAAACCAGACAAAUUCAAUGAAGUAGCCAUCAGCAUCCAUUAAAUGUGAAGACAACAUCCCUCAUUCAGAAAGCCUCUGAGCUGCACAUUUCUGAUGCAGGGAAAGAUGACUUCCUGCUUCCCUGUAGUGCUGUUCAGCUGCUGCUGGCAACAAUCAGGAAUGUGGCACAGCACACAACGAACUCACGGUCUGACUCAGUAAAACUACUCUUGCAUUCUUAUGUCAUGCUACAUUAUUGAAUAGAAUCAGAGAACUACUGUAAAUACUCACUGCAGCUGAAAAAGACAAGGGGCUGGAGAACCUGCUCCACGACUCAUUUCUUUACUUUGGUUGUUCAUUGGAGUGGUUUUUAACACCAGAAAUGUUGUAGGUCUGGACCAUAAUGUAUUUCUUCAACUUUUGUUGGAAUCUUAAGGAAUUUUC
This 1482-nucleotide long non-coding RNA is filed under the name Phasianus colchicus (ring-necked pheasant). Its description in RNAcentral is "lncRNA (ENSPCLG00000020965.1)". The record is from RNAcentral. Lineage: Eukaryota; Metazoa; Chordata; Aves; Galliformes; Phasianidae.